This 260-nucleotide ribosomal RNA is filed under the name Bacillus sp. R-32706. RNAcentral describes it as "partial 16S ribosomal RNA". It matches the Rfam family "Bacterial small subunit ribosomal RNA", at positions 193 to 446 of the family's 1533-position model. The record is from RNAcentral. Lineage: Bacteria; Bacillati; Bacillota; Bacilli; Caryophanales; Bacillaceae.
UUCAAUCAUAAAAGGUGGCUUUUAGCUACCACUUACAGAUGGACCCGCGGCGCAUUAGCUAGUUGGUGAGGUAACGGCUCACCAAGGCGACGAUGCGUAGCCGACCUGAGAGGGUGAUCGGCCACACUGGGACUGAGACACGGCCCAGACUCCUACGGGAGGCAGCAGUAGGGAAUCUUCCGCAAUGGACGAAAGUCUGACGGAGCAACGCCGCGUGAGUGAUGAAGGUUUUCGGAUCGUAAAACUCUGUUGUUAGGGAA